Molecule: long non-coding RNA, 922 nt
Organism: Pristis pectinata (smalltooth sawfish)
Lineage: Eukaryota; Metazoa; Chordata; Chondrichthyes; Rhinopristiformes; Pristidae
Exons: 5
Source: RefSeq, a predicted model, not a curated record
CGCGCGCGAUGAGACGCCGCGACCGCGCGCAUUCGCGCGCAAAAUCUGUUGAAGCCGGUGAGGCGAGAGACCUGAAAUGAGGAAGAAAAUUAUGCAUAUGCCGCGGAGGGAGAAAGAGAGCAAAUGCUUCAGAUCAUCACAUAAAGUGGAAGUACAGCAAGCCUGACAUCAUAGAUUCAACAUACUUUUGAGUCAAAUUACGUUGACAUAUCCCUUCAGGAUGACUUGCUCUCACACUGGUUUUCUGGUUCUAAAAUGGUUUAUGAAGCCAAUCCGGGAACAGCAAACUGCACCAUUUGUGGAAGAGAGGUGCCUGACAGUUCAGAUUGGGAAGUGUGGGACUGCUCCCCUCCACAUCUAAAAGACACAAGAGACUGCAGAAACUGGAAUCUGAAGCAACACACAAGAUGCUGAAGGAACUCAGCAAGUCAGACAGCAUCCAUGGAGGGAAAUGGACAGUCAACAUUUUGGGGUGAGACCCUUCAUCUGGAUUCAAAAGAUCCAAAAAGCCAGGAGGGCUGUGUUGCUUAAAUGGAAGGAAGUUACUCCGCUUUCUCAUACUCAAUGGUUACGGGAUGUUAUGUCAUACCUAAAUUUAGAGAAGAUCCGUCGUUCAAUUUCUGAAUCUAACUUAGACUUUCAAACACCAUGGGGACCUUUUUUGAACUAUUUUCAAAACCUUUGAUCUGGUGGCUAAAGUACAGAUAUUGGCUGACAUCAUUACGUGUCAAAGAUUUUUUCCUUGUCCUUUUUUUACUAAACAGCUUCAGUCUUGGUAGUGGGUUUAGAUUUUUUUAUAAUAAAAUUAUUCCAAUUUAUUCGUUAUUAAUUAAUUAUCAUUUUUGAUUGCUAAUAUACAGUAUUGUGAUUUCAAGUAUGAUUUAACACAAUGUAUUUAGUAGUAUUUUUAUCUUCUUUUCGA